This 450-nucleotide ribosomal RNA is filed under the name uncultured Streptococcaceae bacterium. RNAcentral describes it as "bacterial SSU rRNA". It matches the Rfam family "Bacterial small subunit ribosomal RNA", at positions 354 to 796 of the family's 1533-position model. Lineage: Bacteria; Bacillati; Bacillota; Bacilli; Lactobacillales; Streptococcaceae. The record is from RNAcentral.
GUAGGGAAUCUUCGGCAAUGGGGGGAACCCUGACCGAGCAACGCCGCGUGAGUGAAGAAGGUUUUCGGAUCGUAAAGCUCUGUUGUAAGAGAAGAACGAGUGUGAGAGUGGAAAGUUCACACUGUGACGGUAUCUUACCAGAAAGGGACGGCUAACUACGUGCCAGCAGCCGCGGUAAUACGUAGGUCCCGAGCGUUAUCCGGAUUUAUUGGGCGUAAAGCGAGCGCAGGCGGUUUGAUAAGUCUGAAGUUAAAGGCUGUGGCUCAACCAUAGUUCGCUUUGGAAACUGUCAAACUUGAGUGCAGAAGGGGAGAGUGGAAUUCCAUGUGUAGCGGUGAAAUGCGUAGAUAUAUGGAGGAACACCGGUGGCGAAAGCGGCUCUCUGGUCUGUAACUGACGCUGAGGCUCGAAAGCGUGGGGAGCGAACAGGAUUAGAAACCCCUGUAGUCC